UACGAAGGGGGCUAGCGUUGUUCGGAAUCACUGGGCGUAAAGGGCGCGUAGGCGGCUAAUCAAGUCGGGGGUGAAAGCCUGUGGCUCAACCACAGAAUUGCCUUCGAUACUGUUUGGCUUGAGACCGGAAGAGGACAGCGGAACUGCGAGUGUAGAGGUGAAAUUCGUAGAUAUUCGCAAGAACACCAGUGGCGAAGGCGGCUGUCUGGUCCGGUUCUGACGCUGAGGCGCGAAAGCGUGGGGAGCAAACAGG
RNAcentral lists this ribosomal RNA (253 nucleotides) under uncultured bacterium. RNAcentral's name for it is "partial 16S ribosomal RNA". It matches the Rfam family "Bacterial small subunit ribosomal RNA", at positions 524 to 776 of the family's 1533-position model. The record is from RNAcentral.